GGCAAGCCCCGGUGCAUGCAACCCCUUUCCUUGUGUUUUUAAAUACUUUUCGCACACUUAAGUCUAGUGAAAUGUGCAUUAGGUUCAUAGGAGUUACUUGAAACCCUUUGAUGCAUUGCUUUCCUUGAUAUCCAUACCUUUAUAGAUACUUCUGUGAAGUAUCAAAAUAUGAUUUACAAAAAUGCUUAGCCUUGCUUAGAUCUUGUGGAUAGAGGUUGUCCUUAAUUUAACUCGAGAAAGGAUGGCUUCUACCUGCAAGAAUAUUUUCAUUUGGAGCAAUGGUGGGAUCUUACUGCAAAGUUCCCUGUGAUGCUCUUUCAUCCUAAGGAACAGACACAUUCCUAAGGAUGGAAAUACUUAAAUUGAAACUUGGGGUAGGAACAGGUGAUGUUCUACCCAGGUUGGUUAAGGAUUAACGCGUAUGUAGGCGUGCUGACCGAGGACCCUUUAACUGGUCACAUGCCUCGUCAUGGGUAAGCCUUGCCUCGGGCAGACUAAGGCCGGAAUAAGAUAACACGAAAUGGGCGUGGAGCGGUGGCGAGAGUAGCGUGUACCCUCCGUGGCAAGAGGCUGGACGGUGGUGUAGCUGUGCUCUCGGUUUGCGUGAACCUGAUCCGGUCUUAAGAACCCCGGUGGCGGGUUGACAUAUGCAAGGGUUAAGUGCUACAUAUGUCGUGUGAUUGGAGAUCCUCAGCUGAGUAUAAUCGAUUCGGAUCGCCGUACCUUCGCGGUUAUGAAGACUUGGUCACUUCCCUGCAACCUAAAGUCAGGAUGUGAACACUAUGGAUAAAAAUGAUGUUGUCUUGAUGUGAUGUGAAAUUAGACUAGAUGCAAAUAGAGUCUAGUAAUACUUAAUAUGGAGUUUAAAGAUUGAAAGUAAGGACUCACUUUAGUAAGCUACUUCUGCAAAAGUAUAAGUUGAUUUUUGCUAAAGCCUCUCCUUGACUCCUAUUUAUCCAGCAUACCCUUGAGAGUCUUUUCCUUAGUCGGGUAAGACUUGCUGAGUAUUCCAUACUCAGGGUUUAUCCCUUUGUUGUUUUUAGGUGAGGAAGCGACAAACUUUUGUUGCUUUUGCUCCAAGGUGGUACCAAACGAGGAAAAACAAGACUGAAGUGCGGGAGGACUCGGUCCUCCACUUAGGAUCUUUUACUUAUGACUUAUCAGGAGGAGUUUGUGCCUCCCUUGGUUUGUAUAAUGUUAUUACUCUGCACUCACGUUUAGUCUGGUCUGUAAUAAAAUAACUCAAGCUUGUUUUUGAAAUAAAUGUAAGUUUAUGUAAUUGCUUCCGCAUGUCUUUAUCUCCGAUGUUCUGUAAUGUCUGCAAGACGGGUGAGACGUUCCUGGUAAAGUAAGGAAAGAUACCGAGCUUGUCAAGUAACUUAGGAACAUCUACAGGGUGUCUGAUGUCCGUUGGACAAGGACAACUGUAGGUGGGCCUAAUUACUUGGGAGGUUCCGUCACAGCUGGUAUCGGAGCGUAGCCCUUCUUUGCAGAUAUUAUGAGGCAUCUUCAAAAGAAUUUUCAAAAGUCUUACCUAAGAACUCUUUUCUCUUCUUACCUAAGUAUUCUGAAGAGUCUAUUUUAAAGACCAGAUAGGAAGAGUGCAACGUAUAGAAGGUUGAAUCGACUAAGGUUGAUUCUGUAAUUACACAUGCAUCAUGCUAAGCACUAUACUAAUAACGUUUUCCCCCUUAGAAAAGAUGCCGCCACGUACCAGGCUAACGGCACGCAAGUCUACAGGACCAAUUGGGGUGCCUCGGCAUCAAUUGGCUCCCCGACAUGAAAGCAGCAGUAGUGGAAGUAAUGACCCCAUCGGAGAUCUUAAAGCUCGUGUGAGUCGACUUCAAGCAGCGCUGCAACAUAGGACUGAUGCUUGGGUCGCUGACGGAGAUAGAAUCAAUGAACUGAGAAGGGACAUCCGACACUUGCAGGAUCAGCUCGCUGAUCGAGACUUAGCACUUGACUGGGUCGUACAGUCUCGUUUGCUAAUGUGUGCUAAGGAAGCAAGGGCUCAGGCCCGAAUUAAAGAACUUAGCUCGACUGUCGAUGACCUGCAGGUUUACUGCAAUACGUUGCAUGAGGAAGUUCAUAUACUAUACUCACAGUUACACCCUAGUGAGCCUGCACAACCUGCUGAGGCGGAAGCUGGACCAUCUCACGUUGCGGGACGUGCGCUGGGUGGGGAGUUAGACCUUUUUGAGCCCCCUCCUUCUUUGAGGUUGGUUGAUGUCUGGACUCCCACACCUGACGAUGAAGCCGCCAAGAGUAAUGGCAAGCAAGAAUAAAGGUGUAAUAGGAGUAGAGUAGGGUAUUGUAGGGUAUUGUAGGGUGUACUGUUGUAUAAUAAAUUGAAUCUUUGUAUAUUGGGUAUUGUAUCCUGUUAUGUAAUAUCGAGUCUGUAUCAUUACUUUUUAUAGUAAUGUAAAAUGGAAGGUUUUCUCUGGCACAUUUUGUUUACUUCAAAUAUUUUUGCCACAGAUGCCGACCAGGACUCGAGGACAGGACGCAGCCGGAACUUCUGGCGGCAGGGAUGUUACCCCAAACCCACCUCCGGUUCCUCCCACGUUAGCCGAGGCGAUCGCCGCCUUGGUGAAUGCCACCGCAGACAAUACCCGCUUCCUUAGGGAAAUGGCGGGUCAGCAGCAAUUCUAGCAGCAGGCGGGAAGAGGUUAUCCGCAAGGCCCUCGUGAGACCACCUAUCUGGAUUUCUCGGAAACCCGUCCACCUCUAUUCGUCAAAGCUGAAGAUCCCCUAGAAGCUGAUGAGUGGAUUCGGGUUAUUGAGCAAAAGUUUGGUCUUCUCCGUUGCUCAGAGACGCAGAAGUCGUUGUUUGCCGCACAACAACUCCGUGGUCCUGCUAGUACCUGGUGGGGAAACUUCGUGGCUAUCCAACCUGUCAACCAUCAAGUCACCUGGGAUGAGUUUAAAGCAGCCUUCCGUGAACACUACAUCCCCGAAGGAGUGCUGCAUAUGAAACAAGAGGAAUUUAUGAAGUUACAACAAGGUGGAGAUACCGUCACUCAAUAUCUCAACAAAUUCAAUCACCUGUCGCAGUAUGCCAUCGACCAGGUGAAUACGGAUUUAAAGAAGAAGAACUGUUUUAUGCGGGGACUGAAUGAUCGGCUACAAAGGAAAAUGGCCACAUGCAUAGAUCUCACGUAUGGAAAGGCUGUCAGCACGGCCUUAUCUGUUGAAGCCAAAUACACAAAUUCUGGGAAGAAUAAGGGAUUCGGUGGUGAGAGGCCUAAUCAAGGCCAGGCGAAGAAGCAACGGUUUGUGAUCCGACCUUCAAACCAAAAUCGCACUUUUUCUCGUCCACCCUCAUUCCCCUUCAAACAGCCUAUCAUUAUCCGCCCCAACAAUACCCCCAAUCAGCCGGGUGCCCCAGGCACUCGAUUCCCUGCCUUGCCUAGUUCUUCAACUGGGUGCUUUAAUUGCGGCAAGUCGGGACAUUUUGUCAAAGACUGCCCAUAUCCUAGGCAAAAUCAAUCUAAUGCUUCGCAAGGAUCGGGGAAAUCAACUCAGCCCAAAGGAAAUGUUGUGGGGAAGAAUACAAAGAAGACGGGGCGUGUGUAUUACACUCAAGUGGCUACUACACCGGAAGGAGAACCGGUGAUGAUGGGUACGUUUCCCGUGGCCAGUCACCCAGCAAUUAUUCUUUUUGAUUCCGGUGCUUCACAUACAUUCAUUAGCAAGAAGUUUGUGGAGCAACAUCAUAUUUCAUACCAUGAAUCAAAGGAGGGAUUUAAAAUUCAUUCACCUGGGGGACACAUUUAUACUAGAGAAGUGGCCUAUGGUGUGCCAGUAACAAUGGCCGGACGGAACUUUCCUGCUAACAUGAUUGUUCUAAAGGGCCAGGAUAUAGAUGUAAUCUUGGGUAUGAAUUGGUUAACCCAACACAAGGCAAUUCUCAACACUGAACUCAGAACCAUCAGGUUGAGCUAUAACCAAGAAGAGAUUCUUUUGACUCUCCCCGCAACCAAUCCAGCCAAAGCUUCUGGUAGAGUCUAUGAAGCCAUUGUACCGGAGAUCAAGAACAUUCCGGUAGUAUGUGAGUUUCCAGAUGUAUUUCCGGAAGAUUUGCCUGGACUGCCCCCUGAAAGAGAUGUAGAAUUCGUAAUUGAGCUAAAGCCCGGUACGGCUCCCAUCUCCCGAAGGUCGUACCGUAUGCCCCCUAAUGAGUUGGCGGAACUGAAGAUUCAAUUACAAGAUCUACUGAAUAAGGGAUUCAUCCGGCCAAGCUCGUCCCCGUGGGGUUGUCCCGCCAUUUUUGUUAAGAAGAAGGAUCAAACCUUGAGAAUGUGCGUGGAUUAUCGACCCCUGAAUGAGGUCACUAUCAAGAAUAAGUACCCUCUUCCAAGGAUCGACAUCUUAUUUGAUCAACUGACUGGGGCGAGGGUAUUUUCCAAAAUUGAUCUCAGGUCGGGCUAUCAUCAAAUCCGUAUUCGGCCCGAGGAUAUACCGAAGACCGCGUUUACUACGCGGUAUGGAUUAUUUGAGUACCUGGUAAUGUCUUUCGGGCUCACUAAUGCUCCUGCCCAUUUCACCUAUUUGAUGAACUCGGUGUUCAUGCCCGAGUUGGACAAGUUCGUGGUAGUCUUCAUCGACGAUAUCUUGAUAUAUUCUAAGAAUGAAGAGGACCAUGCUCGGCAUCUACGGAUUGUAUUGACGCGCCUGAGGGAACAUCAGCUAUAUGCCAAGUUCAGCAAGUGCGCGUUCUGGCUGGAAGAAAUUCAAUUUUUGGGGCACGUGUUAUCGGCUAAAGGAAUUGCGGUAGAUCCUAGCAAGGUCAAAGAUAUUCUGGAGUGGAAACCCCCAACAACUGUUCACCAAGUCCGGAGUUUUCUUGGACUAGCUGGGUAUUAUCGCAGAUUCAUACCAGAUUUUUCUAAGCUUGUGAAGCCAAUCACAAGUUUAUUAAAGAAUGACAUUAAGUUCAAUUGGACUUCUAAGUGCAAUGAAGCCUUUGAGCAAUUGAAGACACUGUUGACCACUGCUCCGGUAUUGGCUCAACCGGACAUCACUAAACCCUUUGACGUAUAUUGUGAUGCAUCUGGUAGUGGGCUCGGCUGUGUAUUGAUGCAAGAGGGCCGAGUGAUUGCAUAUGCUUCAAGGCAGUUGCGCCGACAUGAGGAGCACUAUCCAACUCAUGAUCUGGAGCUAGCUGCUGUGGUUCAUGCUCUAAAGAUUUGGCGUCACUAUCUGCUGGGAAAUAUCUGUCAUAUAUAUACAGAUCAUAAAAGUUUGAAGUAUAUCUUCACCCAGUCAGAGUUAAAUAUGAGGCAAAGACGAUGGCUUGAGCUUAUCAAAGACUAUGAACUGGAGAUCCAUUAUCACCCAGGCAAAGCCAAUGUGGUGGCAGAUGCAUUAAGUCGUAAGACUUUCUGCCACUGUCUUAUGGCGAAGACCUCCGAGAACACUUUGUGUCAAGAAAUGGAAAAGCUAAACCUAGGAAUCAUCCAACAAGGGACUCUAAAUCAACUAAAGCUUGAGUCAAUCAUUUUGCAAAGGAUAAUUGAUGCUCAAAAAGAUAAUCUGGGUAUGAAGCACAUUUGAAAGAAGAUAAAGGCUGGAGUAGCCAAGUGUUUCAAGGAAGACGAUCAAGGUGUGAUAUGGUUUAAAAACCGCAUAGUAGUGCCAAAGAACGAAGAGCUCCGCCAGCAAAUUCUUGAUGAAGCACAUCUUAGUCGUUAUUCUAUUCAUCCCGGAAGCACUAAGAUGUAUCAAGUCUUAAAGCAACAUUACUGGUGGACAAAGAUGAAGAUUGAAAUUGCACGCUAUGUGGCUAAAUGUGACACUUGCAGACGUGUCAAGGCCAUACACAUGAAAACUGCUGGUCCAUUACAAUCUUUGCCAAUCCCAACAUGGAAAUGGGAAGACAUCAGUAUGGACUUUAUUGUGGGACUGCCCAGGACGGCCAAAGGGUAUGAUUCUAUUUGGGUUAUCGAUGAUCGACUCACAAAGAUUGCCCACUUCUUACCCGUCAGGGCCAAAUAUACAGUAGCCACUUAUGCAGCAUUGUAUAUCAGCCGUAUUCUCAGUUUGCAUGGUAUUCCAAAGACCAUAAUGUCGGAUCGUGGACCUCAGUUCGUAUCCAAGUUUUGGGAAGAACUUCAUAAAUCCUUGGGUACCAAAUUGCUCCACAGUUCGGCCUAUCAUCCUCAAACCAGUGGACAGACUGAGAGGGUGAACCAGAUACUCGAGGAUAUGCUGCGGGCAUGUGUCCUGGACUUCUCGCAAAAAUGGGAUGAAUGUUUGCCCCUAGCAGAGUUUUCAUACAAUAACAGUUAUCAAGAAAGUAUCAAGAUGGCACCUUUUGAAGCUUUGUAUGGGCGACGGUGUCGAACUCCGCUAAAUUGGUCUGAACCUGGAGAAAGAUACUUCUUUAGGCCUGAUAUGGUGAAAGAGGUCGAAGAAAAGGUUCAGAAAAUUAUUUAUAAUAUGAAGAAAGCUCAGGCUCGACAAAAGAGUUAUGCAGACCGACGAAGACAACCCUUAUGCUUUCUGGUAGACGAUUAUGUCUACUUAAAAGUUUCACCAAUGAAGGGUGUAUCGCGUUUCGGGGUUAAAGGGAAACUUGCACCCAGAUACAUUGGUCCCUUCCUGGUACUUGAGCAAUGUGGACCAGUGGCAUACCGACUUCAGCUCCCCGAAACAUUGUCUGCUGUGCAUAAUGUGUUCCACGUGUCACAAUUGAAGAAGUGUCUUCGGGUUCCCGAUCGAACCGUUGAAGUGACUGAUGUUGUCCUGGAACCAGAUUUGACAUACUCGGAACAUCCUAUUCGAGUUCUGGAUCAAAAGGACAGGGUUACCCGAAGAAAGACUCUCAAGUUUUAUAAGAUACAGUGGAACCAGCAUUCUGAAGACGAGGCUACAUGGGAAACCCAAGACUUUUUAGAUAAGAAUUUCCCAGGCUUCCUAGCCUCAUGUAAAUUGUAAAGUCUGUAUAGCUGUGUAAUAAAGAAGUGACCCCCUCAUCACCCCUGCUUUGUACCAAAACUUAUGAAAUAAAAAUAUGAUGCGUUUCCUUUACCAUUAUUUACCCUAGGAUUUUUAAUCUCGGGACGAGAUUCUUUUAUGGGGGAAAGGAUGUAACACCCCUGGUGUUACUAUAACUAAAACUUGAGCAUGACAUCAUGAACAUUAGCAUUUGCAUAUGUUUGACACACCUAGAGUGCAUUCACUAGGUAAAAAAAAUUCAAACAAGUUGUAUUGUUUUAAUGUUUUGCAAAUAGGACCCUGGAUAGGAAGCUUUACCCUAAAUAAGGAUUACAGGGGUAAAACAUAACCCAAGUUAAGGAAACCUAAAGACUUUAGGGUAAAAGUCAUAAAAUGACCCCAAAAAUAAACUUGAAUCACAUUUAUACCCCUGGGAUACCAGAAACCCUAAUUGGAACCCUGGAAAACCCUAAAACCAACCCUAGGGGCUUAUGUGCAAAAUUAGUCCACUUUUGGGCUAAAGUGCAAAAACCAAGUCAAAUAAGUAUUUUAAGUCAUUUGGUUCACAAAUAUGUGGACUUGAAAGCCAAACCCUAGGUUUUGGACUUAAAUGCAAAAUGGACCUCAUUUGAGUUCUAUUCUAAGUCUGAAAAUCAGAGAAUUGGCUCAACUUUGGAGCUUUGCAUCUUUCAAAUUAUAGGGUUUUUGCCCUAGGUCACCACAUCAAAGUUGAAGACCAAUUAUAGGAGAACAACUUUGCUAAAGAGUGUGAGCUCAGUUGUUAAGAAAAAUUUAGAGAUAAAUGAGCCUGAAGUUGGACUGUCAGACUGCCUGAAGCCUGAAAUGCAGAUUGACAGUGUUGUGACAUGAACUUUGAGCUCGAUUUGGAUGGGGAUCCAGUGACCUUUUGUGAGUACACAUUAUAGCAAAGAUAUAGAUGGAUUAUAGCACUACAACUUUGCUAUAGAUCACUGGGUGUGUUGCCAUUUGAAAAUCAUAGAAAAAGAAGCUUAAACAUUGGCUGUCAGGCACUCUGAACAGGCUCCUUGAUGGUACAGUACCCUAACCGGAUCAGAUCAAUCGCCAGCGCGGCUGUCUUCACCGCCGGUGGCUUUCCGCCGUGAUUCACGUCGCCGGCGUCACGAUUCGCGCUCGGGUAUGUGGAUAACUUCGCGGCGUCAAAAGAUCGUCACCGCCCAUGACCUGGACACCACACCGACUAGCCGUAGUCCAUCUCCCCUGGCUCACCGCCCGCGGUAAUGUGCUCACCGUCGACCGCCGCCUCUCGGCCGUGCGCCGCGUGGCUCGACCCUUCCACCGCGUCGCUGUAACUUGCUACUGUUGUCAAAUCAACGCCGGUGAGGUUGCCACGGCGUAGGACACUAAUUCGCGUGCGCCAGUACCUUCUUCCUCAUCUCCGACCGCCGCGUGUCUUGUCCAAAUUCGUGGCCACCGCCCGUCCUCUCUAUAAAUUGAGCCCAUGAUUAGCUCCGUGGGGUCGUCAGCCAACUAGCCACAGCUAAUCGACCACAAUCAUCCACUCGUGUGCUCGAAUUCGGAGUUUCCCCCAAAUCCGAUUUCCGCCACCGUGAAACCAAGCUCACCGUCGCCAGCCUUACUCCGGUUAGUCCCUCCCCUCUGCUCCCUUGUUUAAGCAUUCUCAUGCGUUUACGAUGCUUGCCGAGCCAUCGAAUUGAACUAAGGGCUCUCUGGUCGCCGGGAACACGACCAUAUAGCCGCUAUGCUUACGGCCACCGUGGCCAGAGCUCCAUAGUUGACCAAUAGCGCAAUUAAGUUAGGGGAAAUGGUCAGGCUGACCCCAAUUUCAUGUCCGCCGCUCGGAGAACCCAGCCAUAGCCCCAAUCGGCCGGUCCAGGACCUCGCCGGAGUCUCUCCGCGCGCGUCGCCGUCGUGGACCGCCCACUGCGAAGAAAUAGAACCUCAAGGGCCUCUGUGCAAAGCGUUAGUGACACAGGAAAACAGUAGAAAGACCGGAUCACAGUUAAUGAGAACCCCGAGGGUAUUUUUGCAAAGCCGCCAGCGCGGGCGCGCGCGCGGGCGCCUUUCUGCCCUAGCUGGGCCGCCUGGGCUGGAUUCGGCCCAGUGCGGUUCAAUUGUUUUUUCUUUUUCUUUUAUCUCCAGAGCCAAAACAAUUAUAGAAAAAUGUAGAAAAAUGCUAAAAUUGUGAAACUAAUUUUCCUAGGCUUGUUAUUUUCCCUAGAAUUUAGUAAAAAUAGUUUUGCGAUUUUUAGUAGAAAUAAGAAAUUUUAGGGUAUUUAAAGUAGUUAAAAGUAUUAGUUAUGGAUUUUUAGAAAAUAAUUGGUAAGUCCAUUAAUUCCCAAACUUUUUGUGGGAAUUUAAAACAAUAUUUAGAAGCCUUGGGUAGAGUUUGAAUUGUUUUGGACCUUGUUUGAUCACCAAACCCCAAAACACCCCCCUGCCCUAUGAACUCCUUUACCGACUCCGGAAACCCUAAGUUCCCGGAAUUCCGUGAAGGAAAAUUGUAUUCAAGAUAUAGAUAAUAAGUUUAUCUUAUCUUUGCAUCCUCAUGAGCAUCCCAUGACAUCCAUUCUUAUACCUAUGUAUGGUUAUGAUUAGAACGUGAAGAAGAAAUCGAAGUAACUGAAGAGGAGACACCACCACCUUCGGAGUCUCAGGCCGGGAAUCAUUUCUACUUUGACAUCUGUGGAUCUGAGCCUGAUUCACCUGUGAACGAAGGCAAGCCCCGGUGCAUGCAACCCCUUUCCUUGUGUUUUUAAAUACUUUUCGCACACUUAAGUCUAGUGAAAUGUGCAUUAGGUUCAUAGGAGUUACUUGAAACCCUUUGAUGCAUUGCUUUCCUUGAUAUCCAUACCUUUAUAGAUACUUCUGUGAAGUAUCAAAAUAUGAUUUACAAAAAUGCUUAGCCUUGCUUAGAUCUUGUGGAUAGAGGUUGUCCUUAAUUUAACUCGAGAAAGGAUGGCUUCUACCUGCAAGAAUAUUUUCAUUUGGAGCAAUGGUGGGAUCUUACUG
RNAcentral lists this long non-coding RNA (9951 nucleotides) under Zea mays. Its description in RNAcentral is "long non-coding RNA (ZMAY_LNC004337)". The record is from RNAcentral. Lineage: Eukaryota; Viridiplantae; Streptophyta; Magnoliopsida; Poales; Poaceae.